GUCGCACAUACAUGACAUAUAUAUAAAUAUAUUGGAAAACAUUCCCAAUAAAUAUUUUGUAUGGAAAUGGACAUUUUUUAAUUCAUUUUAUACGACUGGCUUUGGAUUUUAGAUAUAAAUCGCAAAACAUUAAAAUGAAACGUGUACAUGCUGGUGUACUAUUGAUACAUGCAUGUUUUCAAGGAUUUGUUAUCUACGAUAGUAGAGGGGCAUUAUGUUUUCUGGUAUGUGCGUCCGUUCGUUCGUAUUUCUGUCUGUCCGUUCGUUCGUUCGUCCGUCCGUUCGUUCGUCCGUCUGUCCCGCUUCAGGUUAAAGUUUUUGGUCAAGGUAGUUUUUGAUGAUGUUGAAGUCCAAUCAACUUGAAACUUAGUACACAUGUUCCCUAUGGUAUGAUCUUUCUAAUUUUAAUGCCACAUUAGACUUUUUACCCAAUUUCACGGUCCAUUGAACAUGGAAAAGUAUAGUGCGAGUGGGGCAUCCGUGUACUUUGGACACAUUCUUGUUGUAAUUAUUUUUGUUUUAUAUCUCUUAUGAAAUGAAAGAGAUGUGAGUUAAACAGCAACAAUAUUGUGAUUUUUUUUCUUUACUUUUUUUCUUGUGACUUUUUUUCCUAGUAAUUUUGUGACUUUUUUUCCCGUGACUUUUUUUCCUGUGACUUUUUUUCCGUUU
RNAcentral lists this long non-coding RNA (669 nucleotides) under Mytilus galloprovincialis (Mediterranean mussel). Lineage: Eukaryota; Metazoa; Mollusca; Bivalvia; Mytilida; Mytilidae. The record is from RNAcentral.